GAUGAACGCUGGCGGCGUGCCUAAUACAUGCAAGUCGAGCGAACAGACGAGGAGCUUGCUCCUCUGACGUUAGCGGCGGACGGGUGAGUAACACGUGGAUAACCUACCUAUAAGACUGGGAUAACUUCGGGAAACCGGCGCUAAUACCGGAUAAUAUAUUGAACCGCAUGGUUCAAUAGUGAAAGACGGUUUUGCUGUCACUUAUAGAUGGAUCCGUGCCGCAUUAGCUAGUUGGUAAGGUAACGGCUUACCAAGGCAACGAUGCGUAGCCGACCUGAGAGGGUGAUCGGCCACACUGGAACUGAGACGCGGUCCAGACUCCUACGGGAGGCAGCAGUAGGGAAUCUUCCGCAAUGGGCGAGAGCCUGACGGAGCAACGCCGCGCGAGUGAUGAGGGUCUUCGGAUCGUAAAACUCUGUUAUUAGGGAAGAACAAAUGUGUAAGUAACUAUGCACGUCUUGACGGUACCUAAUCAGAAAGCCCCGGCUAACUACGUG
This 497-nucleotide ribosomal RNA is filed under the name uncultured bacterium. Its description in RNAcentral is "partial 16S ribosomal RNA". It matches the Rfam family "Bacterial small subunit ribosomal RNA", at positions 28 to 507 of the family's 1533-position model. The record is from RNAcentral.